AUAACAAGAUGGUUAUUCAUGACUCAUGUGAUAUGAUUUAUUAACCUUUUGUGCCACUAUAGGUGGAUAUUGCUGCUGGAUGGCAUUCUACUGCACUAACAGAUGAUGGAGAGGUGUAUGGAUGGGGCCGAGGGGAACAUGGUAGACUUGGUUUCGGCGAGAAUGAUAAGAGCAGUAAAAUGGUCCAGCAAAAGGUUCAUCUUUUAGCUGGGGAGGAUAUCGUUCAGGUGUCUUGUGGAGGCACUCACUCUGCUGCAUUAACACGUGAUGGGCGCAUUUUCUCGGUAAGAAACUCUUAAUGCCGUCAUUAAGCUGAAAAAUGCAAGUUCCCAGAAUAUCAAUAACACUAUUGACAGACCUCUGUUGAAACUAAAAAUGACUCUGAAACUUGCAAGAAUGAUCUGUUAUCAGGCUUUCACCUUAGUGUGCAUCUCGGUGACAGUGUUAGGUGUUUAUCAGUUGAUGGUGAGAAUCAUGAAGAUUUGGAUAUCUAUGGUAACACUGAGGAGUA
RNA transcript from Rosa chinensis, 511 nucleotides. RefSeq lists it as uncharacterized. The transcript has 3 exons. Lineage: Eukaryota; Viridiplantae; Streptophyta; Magnoliopsida; Rosales; Rosaceae. The record is from RefSeq and is a predicted model, not a curated record.